GGAAACGUAUCCUGUGGGAG
RNAcentral lists this unclassified non-coding RNA (20 nucleotides) under synthetic construct. The record is from RNAcentral.